GCCUCCAUAGCUCAGCGGUUAGAGCACUGGUCUUGUAAACCAGGGGGUCGAGAGUUCGAAUCUCUCUGGGGGCU
Gigantopelta aegis is the source of this 74-nucleotide non-coding RNA. Lineage: Eukaryota; Metazoa; Mollusca; Gastropoda; Neomphalida; Peltospiridae. The record is from the annotation of a RefSeq genome assembly.